CUGGACUACUAGGGUUUCUAAUCCUGUUUGCUCCCCACGCUGUCGCGCAUCAGCGUCAGCUACUGCCCAGCAGGCCGCCUUCGCCACCGGUGUUCUUCCGGAUCUCUACGCAUUCCACCGCUACACCCGGAAUUCCACCUGCCUCUACAGUGCUCAAGCACGAGAGUAUCGACGGCCGACCCGGAGUUGAGCUCCGGGCUUUCACCGCCGACUGCUCGCGCCGCCUACGCGCCCUUUACGCCCAGUGAUUCCGGACAACGCUCGCACCCUCCGUAUUACCGCGGCUGCUGGCACGGAGUUAGCCGGUGCUUCCUCACCCGGUACCGUCAAUCCGGUCGAAACCGGAAGUUCGUCCCGGGCAACAGUGGUUUACACCCCGAAGGGCGUCCUCCCACACGCG
RNAcentral lists this unclassified non-coding RNA (400 nucleotides) under uncultured fungus. RNAcentral describes it as "sequence contains ITS1". The record is from RNAcentral. Lineage: Eukaryota; Fungi.